ACCAGUACCGUGAGGGAAAGGCGAAAAGAACCCCGGCGAGGGGAGUGAAAAAGAACCUGAAACCGUGUACGUACAAGCAGUGGGAGCACAGGUUUACCUGUGUGACUGCGUACCUUUUGUAUAAUGGGUCAGCGACUUAUAUUCUGUAGCAAGGUUAACCGAAUAGGGGAGCCGGAGGGAAACCGAGUCUUAAUUGGGCGUUAAGUUGCAGGGUAUAGACCCGAAACCCGGUGAUCUAGCCAUGGGCAGGUUGAAGGUUGGGUAACACUAACUGGAGGACCGAACCGACUAAUGUUGAAAAAUUAGCGGAUGACCUGUGGCUGGGGGUGAAAGGCCAAUCAAACCGGGAGAUAGCUGGUUCUCCCCGAAAGCUAUUUAGGUAGCGCCUCGUGAAUUCAUCUCCGGGGGUAGAGCACUGUUUCGGCUAGGGGGCCAUCCCGGCUUACCAACCCGAUGCAAACUGCGAAUACCGGAGAAUGUUAUCACGGGAGACACACGGCGGGUGCUAACGUCCGUCGUGAAGAGGGAAACAACCCAGACCGCCAGCUAAGGUCCCAAAGUCAUGGUUAAGUGGGAAACGAUGUGGGAAGGCCCAGACAGCCAGGAUGUUGGCUUAGAAGCAGCCAUCAUUUAAAGAAAGCGUAAUAGCUCACUGGUCGAGUCGGCCUGCGCGGAAGAUGUAACGGGGCUAAACCAU
Molecule: ribosomal RNA, 697 nt
Filed under: Salmonella enterica
Lineage: Bacteria; Pseudomonadati; Pseudomonadota; Gammaproteobacteria; Enterobacterales; Enterobacteriaceae
Also listed under: 1 other name
Description: partial 23S ribosomal RNA
Rfam family: Bacterial large subunit ribosomal RNA
Source: RNAcentral